Molecule: long non-coding RNA, 299 nt
Filed under: Cicer arietinum (chickpea)
Lineage: Eukaryota; Viridiplantae; Streptophyta; Magnoliopsida; Fabales; Fabaceae
Description: long non-coding RNA (CARI_LNC002067)
Source: RNAcentral
CAAUAUCAUCAAUGUCUUCAACACAAUGUUUAGUCGAGGUUUUUUUUCAAUUGUCCUUAAAGGUUCAUACAAGACUUGAUAUUUUUCUUUAGAUUGGUGAAUUUUUUUUUUCAUGACAUUAAAGUAGUAAGCGAUAAUGAUGAAAGUUCAACAUAGACGACCCAACUUCUAGAAGUCCACCUGUGGUGAAAAGUCAAAAAAGUAUGUCCAUGACUUAGAAGUAGGGGGUGGAGGAUGAAGAUGAAUCUCAUUAGUAUCAUGUUCAGAUCUUGUAGACAAGUUACUUGAGGUAGACCUAG